CUGGUGUUGUAUAUGUACAUAUAUAUUUUGUUGUUUUGUAUUUUACUUUUAUUUUACUUUGUAUACUUCUAUAUCUUUCAUGCCUGUUUCUUAUAUUUUGUGUUUUGUUUUUUAUUCUUGUGUGUUUGGUUUAUUGGUGCUGCUACUGUCACGACAAAUUUCCCCUUGGGGAUUAAUAAAGUAUAUAUCUAUCUAUCUAUCUAUCUAUCCUGUGACCCAGAGACCUGUGUUCCAUUCCACAUUCACAUGAAUAAAUGAAUCUGCACACUCCGGGACAGUAGGUGGCGGUAUGCACCUAGGCAAGUUGGUUGCGAUCCGCCAUUCAAAUUUAAAGAAGAAGAAGAAGAGACUGCACGGCACUUUCUUAAGAUCGUGGAACUGUGAUGGUCGCGUUUUACACACACACACACACACACACACACACACACACACACACACACACACACACACACACACACACACACACACACACACACACUUGCGUGCAGAGAAAGAGAAACACUUGUGCCUGGACGACUUCUGCAUUAAGGACGUGGCACUAAGGAGGAUUGUCCAGCCGCAG
This is a long non-coding RNA of Pseudoliparis swirei, 562 nucleotides long. RefSeq lists it as uncharacterized. The transcript is spliced from 2 exons. NCBI's taxonomy places the organism in Eukaryota, Metazoa, Chordata, Actinopteri, Perciformes, Liparidae. The record is from RefSeq and is a predicted model, not a curated record.